UUUUUGGAGAGUUUGAUCCUGGCUCAGGAUGAACGCUGGCGGCGUGCCUAAUACAUGCAAGUCGAGCGGCAGCGCGGUCUUCGGACUGGCGGCGAGCGGCGGACGGGUGAGUAACGCGUAGGAAUGUACCCCAAAGUGAGGGAUAAGCUCAAGAAAUUGAGUCUAAUACCGCAUGUGGUCUGAAGACAAUCGUCUUCGGAUUAAAGCUUUAAGCGCUAUGGGAACAGCCUGCGUAGGAUUAGCUUGUUGGUGAGGUAAUGGCUCACCAAGGCGACGAUCCUUAGCUGGUCUGAGAGGAUGAUCAGCCACACUGGAACUGAGACACGGUCCAGACUCCUACGGGAGGCAGCAGUAAGGAAUCUUCCACAAUGGGCGAAAGCCUGAUGGAGCAACGCCGCGUGCAGGAUGAAGGCUUUCGAGUCGUAAACUGCUUUUAUUAGUGAGGAAUAUGACGGUAGCUAAUGAAUAAGGGUCUGCUAACUACGUGCCAGCAGCCGCGGUCAUACGUGGGACCCGAGCGUUAUCCGGAUUGACUGGGCGUAAAGCGUUGCGUAGGCGGUCUGUUAAGCGAAUAGUGAAACCUGGUGGCUCAACCAUUCAGACUAUUAUUCGAACUGGCAGACUAGAGAACAGUAGAGGUACCUGGAAUUUCUAGUGUAGGGGUAAUAUCCGUAGAUACUAGAAGGAACACCAAUGGCGUAGGCAGGGUACUGGGCUGUUUCUGACGCUCAGGCACGAAAGCGUGGGGAGCGAACGGGAUUAGAUACCCCGGUAGUCCACGCCGUAAACGAUGGAUGCUAGCAGUGUGCCGUAUCGACCCGGUGCGUUGCGAAGUUAACGCGUUAAGCAUCCCGCCUGGGGAGUACGAUCGCAAGAUUAAAACUCAAAGGAAUUGACGGGGACCCGCACAAGCGGAGGAGCGUGUUGUUUAAUCGGAUGGUAAGCCUAGAACCUUACCAGGGUUUGACAUCCUAGGAAUUAUGUCGAAAGACGUGAGUGCCGCAAGGAACCUAGUGACAGGUGUUGCAUGGCCGUCGUCAGCUCGUGUCGUGAGAUGUUUGGUUAAGUCCAUCAACGAGCGCAACCCUUAUGGUUAGUUGGAUUUUUCUAGCCAGACUGCCUCGGUAACGGGGAGGAAGGAGGGGAUGAUGUCAGGUCGGUAUUACCCUUACACCCUGGGCUACAAACGCGCUACAAUGGCCGGUACAAUGGGCAGCCAAGUCGUGAGACGGAGCAAAUCCCAUCAAAGCCGGUCCCAGUUCGGAUAAGAGGCUGAAACUCGCCUCUUUGAAGUCGGAUUCGCUAGUAAUCGCAGGUCAGCACACUGCGGUGAAUACGUUCCCGGGUCUUGUACACACCGCCCGUCAAGCCAUGAAAGUCACCAAUGCCCGAAGUCUGAACUUGUUUCGGCCUAAGGCAGGGGGGAUGAUUGGGGUUAAGUCGUAACAAGGUAUCCGUAGCGGAAGCUGCGGAUGGAUUACCUCCUUU
Molecule: ribosomal RNA, 1488 nt
Filed under: Candidatus Saccharimonadota bacterium
Lineage: Bacteria; Candidatus Saccharimonadota
Description: bacterial SSU rRNA
Rfam family: Bacterial small subunit ribosomal RNA
Source: RNAcentral